Molecule: ribosomal RNA, 443 nt
Filed under: uncultured bacterium
Lineage: Bacteria
Description: bacterial SSU rRNA
Rfam family: Bacterial small subunit ribosomal RNA
Source: RNAcentral
CGACUCCUACGGGAGGCAGCAGUGGGGAAUCUUGGACAAUGGGGGCAACCCUGAUCCAGCCAUGCCGCGUGAGUGAUGAAGGCCUUAGGGUCGUAAAGCUCUUUCGCCUGUGAUGAUAAUGACAGUAGCAGGUAAAGAAACCCCGGCUAACUCCGUGCCAGCAGCCGCGGUAAUACGGAGGGGGUUAGCGUUGUUCGGAAUUACUGGGCGUAAAGCGCGCGUAGGCGGAUUAGUCAGUUAGAGGUGAAAUCCCAGGGCUCAACCCUGGAACUGCCUUUAAUACUGCUAGUCUUGAGUUCGAGAGAGGUGAGUGGAAUUCCGAGUGUAGAGGUGAAAUUCGUAGAUAUUCGGAGGAACACCAGUGGCGAAGGCGGCUCACUGGCUCGAUACUGACGCUGAGGUGCGAAAGUGUGGGGAGCAAACAGGAUUAGAUACCCUGGUAG